GUGUCGAUGGCAAGGUUGGUUAUCGCUUCUGUCUGCGGCACAGAAUCUCAGUUCGAAUCUGGGUCGAUUCA
This is a non-coding RNA of Guyanagaster necrorhizus, 71 nucleotides long. Lineage: Eukaryota; Fungi; Basidiomycota; Agaricomycetes; Agaricales; Physalacriaceae. The record is from the annotation of a RefSeq genome assembly.